This 253-nucleotide ribosomal RNA is filed under the name uncultured bacterium. RNAcentral's name for it is "partial 16S ribosomal RNA". It matches the Rfam family "Bacterial small subunit ribosomal RNA", at positions 524 to 776 of the family's 1533-position model. The record is from RNAcentral.
UACAGGGGGUGCAAGCGUUGUUCGGAAUCAUUGGGCGUAAAGGGCGUGUAGGCGGUCUGUUAAGUCAUGUGUGAAAUCCCUCGGCUCAACCGGGGAACGACGCAUGAAACUGACAAGCUAGAGUACCAAAGAGGGGGAUGGAAUUCCCGGUGUAGUGGUGAAAUGCGUAGAUAUCGGGAGGAACACCAGUGGCGAAGGCGACUAUCUGGGCUGCAACUGACGCUGAGGCGCGAAGGCUAGGGUAGCAAACAGG